UGCUUUACACAUGCAAGUCGAACGGUAGAGGGGGCAACCCCUUGAGAGUGGCGAACGGGUGAGUAAUGCAUCGGAACGUGCCCAGUCGUGGGGGAUAACGCAGAGAAAGUUGUGCUAAUACCGCAUACGAUCUAAGGAUGAAAGCGGGGGAUCGCAAGACCUCGCGCGAUUGGAGUGGCCGAUAUCGGAUUAGGUAGUUGGUGGGGUAAAGGCUCACCAAGCCGACGAUCCGUAGCUGGUCUGAGAGGAUGACCAGCCACACUGGAACUGGGACACGGUCCAGACUCCUACGGGAGGCAGCAGUGGGGAAUUUUGGACAAUGGGGGCAAGUCUGAUCCAGCCAUUCCGCGUGCGUGAAGAAGGCCUUCGGGUUGUAAAGCUA
Molecule: ribosomal RNA, 382 nt
Filed under: uncultured organism
Description: bacterial SSU rRNA
Rfam family: Bacterial small subunit ribosomal RNA
Source: RNAcentral